This 257-nucleotide ribosomal RNA is filed under the name uncultured prokaryote. RNAcentral describes it as "partial 16S ribosomal RNA". It matches the Rfam family "Bacterial small subunit ribosomal RNA", at positions 524 to 780 of the family's 1533-position model. The record is from RNAcentral.
UACGGAGGAUGCAAGCGUUAUCCGGAUUCAUUGGGUUUAAAGGGUGCGUAGGCGGGCUAUUAAGUCAGUGGUGAAAUCCUGCAGCUUAACUACAGAACUGCCAUUGAUACUGAUAGUCUUGAGUUUGGUUAAGGUAGGCGGAAUGUGUAAUGUAGCGGUGAAAUGCUUAGAUAUUACACAGAACACCAAUUGCGUAGGCAGCUUACUGAGCCGACACUGACGCUGAGGCACGAAAGCGUGGGGAUCGAACAGGAUUA